GACACAUUGGAAAAGACCCUGAUGCUGGGAAAUACUGAAGGCAGAAAGAGAAGAGGGCAGCAGAGGACGAGAUGGUUAGGUAACAUCACUGAAUCAAUGAACAUGAAUAUGGGCAAACUCCAGGACACAGUGGAGGAUAGGACCCUGGGGUUCUGCAAAGAGUCAGACAACUUGGCAACAGAACAACAGAGUCUCUGUUUCCAAACAGUGUGAGGUGCGUUAUAGCGGUCACUAUUAAAAGACAGUCGAAUUCUUGGGCUGUUGACGUUUGAGGGAUUGAGAAGGAAAGCAGAAGUAGAACUUGAGUAAAAAUAUGAAGAGAGUUGAAAAUUAUGGUCCUGUUUUUAGGAAAUACGUUUGAAAAUCUUUAUAGAAAGCAAUGACUGCUUCUGGAAACACUGCCUCUUUGCUAAUAGGAAUAAUAAAUGUGGUUCUUUCCCCUAAAAGCACACCAGUAGCAACAUUACGGAUUACUGCUAACACUUAAAUGUCUGUCAUUUAUGCAUUUAGUAUUAGUGAUCUUAAUACUGAUUUAUUAUGACUCAUACUCUCUUUUCAAGAGUUACGUCCAGAAAUUCAUGCUCUGGAUUUGAAUGUUAGUCUCAGUAGGAGCUUCUGCCAUAGUCUAUUGCCUAGAAGUUACUCUGUAGUACCAAUUCUGCAUUAGCUAGGCUCUUAAAAAAAACAGCAAAAAUUGGCUUUAAAAAAAUUAAUGAAAGAACAUUAACUACAUAAAGAAUCAAAGGGAAGGCUGAAAACUAGAGAACUAGGGCAGCCCCAAGGACUCUCAAGUCACAAAUUUGUGAACUCUAAUAAAUGGGUCACUGGUGUUACCCAGUGACAUCUCCAAAGGAGUCAAACUGAUGGUUUCAAAAAGAGUAAUAUGGAUAGUUUAAAAAAAAAAAAAAAAAAAAGGGACAAUGAGGAGCCUUAGCAUUCUAACAAGCUGAGAUAUAAGACUAAGAAUUCUGGGAAAUUGCAUUUUUAAAUAUUUUGAUCACUUUGAUGCAGCCAGCAUUGUUAAGAUGGUUAAAUUAGAUUGCAUAUUACUAUUGCGAGUUUUCUGAGGAGCUAGUCAUGAUCUUUUUUACCUCUUACAGAUUAUAUAUCAAUUCAGAAAUAUACUUACUGGAGUUGAGUAGGAAGAAGCCAAGCUGUGAGCUUUAUUGAGAAAGCUUGACUGAAAAACUUCGGCCUACGAUUCCCAUUGAACUUGUCCCACUCUUUCUAUACCUUGAGGCUCACCUUGGAAGGGAAAUAUUUAAUCUAACAGGAAAGAAUUGUGACUGACAUCCCCACCGUGUUAAAGAAGUUGAUUCCAAGAGAGUCUGCCUGCAGGUCAGCAGAUGGCCUCAUUCUCGCUUUACUGCUGAAGAGGCACAGAACUCGGAGGCUUCACUUCAAACUUGUACACUGAUGCUUUUCCACAUUCCACUGACCAAGGCAAGUCUUAUGGUUCAGCCAAACUUGAGUGGGAAAGGGAAAUACACUCCUCCCCAGGAGAUGGUGGGGAGAGGUGUGAAAAUCGAAUGCAAGGCUCUAAUAGACCAGGGAUUGGCAAACUUUUUCUGUAAAGGGUCAGUUGAGGCUCUGCAGCCAAUAUGGUCUCUUGCACCUACUCAAGUGAGUCAGUUGUUAUGAAAGCUCCUCAGACAGUAAGUAAACGAAUGAGCAUGGCUGUGUUCCAGUAACAAAAAGCUGAUGUGCUGUAUUUGGUCCAUGGGUUACAGUUUGCUGACCCUGUAAUAGAUACUUUUGCUCUUUUGUUCGCAAAUGUUCAAACCUGUCCCUGGCUCAAAGCAACUGAUUCUCUGAUACUUAAGGCUCACAUUUAAAACAUCAUUAUUUAUUGAAUCUAUCCACAGUACCUCAAAUGGGAUGGCCCUCUAUUUCAUCUCAAUCCCGUAUUGAAACAACUGGCUAUUUCUUUGAGGUACUCCUCAGGACACCCUACCAUGAAUUUGUAUCUGAAAACUUGGGAAGGGAGCCUCUUUGGCAUAUGGCGCCUAUGAAGAGGUUGAGAACAGCGAAAACGCUACAUGCUUCUAUUUUUAAUCACUGUAGAAACAUGGAUGCUGAAUACAUUUUUAUUACCAGUAUGCAUUCAGUUUCUUAGGUUCCUAACCUCCUGUAUGUUUUGUAAUUAUGGACUGAAAAAUUACUAGCAUAAUAAAGUAGGUAUCCACACACAUAUUUAAUUUUUUCUUUACCUUCUGUUUCAUGUAAUUGUAAGAUUCAUCUUAAUUUUAUUAAGUGUGAAAAUUCAGGAUAGCUGAAAUAAUGCUACAUUGUAAUACCUAAGUUUUCCACCAGGCGUCACUAAUACUGUGAAUUUCUUUUGACUCUAAAGACUAAUAUUCCACUUUUCUUAUUGAAAGUUAACAUUGGGACUUCUGGCUACAAAAAGACGUCGGGAGAGAAAACACAGCAUCUGUCCUUUGCUAGGCAUUUUACAUGAACUGUCUCAUUUAACUCUUAUGCUUUAGUGCACAAAAAGCAUUGCAGGGUCAGUGGGCAUGCAGACAGCACUGUUUUAAAGUUUAGAUGGUCUCCUUUGUCCGCGGCCAUGGAAGUUCAUUUGACUCCAUACCAAGCACAUCGAAAGGAGUGUUUCCUCACCAUUUUCUUGGUGGCUGUUAAACCGUCUACAUCCUGUUAGCAACUGAGUGUCCAGAAUAAGUCAAGUUUUCCUUUACUGGGCUUUAAGUUUCAUUGGUGAGUUUGUAUUUCCACCUCAGAUGACUGACCAAUGAUGGGCAGCAACCAAAACACAGAGGACAUUUUCCUAUACCUUAUCUAUAGUGGUUAUGGAAAAAAAUCAAGUAUGAAUUUUCAAGCAUUUGUGAACCAGUUUUCCAACUUGCCAGGAGAAUUGUUCAUUACUCCUUGGGGCAUUAAUUCUUGGCUCAACUUGUAAAUAAUUUCUCAUUUUUAAAAAUUCCGUGUAUGAAACUGUAUUUCAGUUACUUAUUCAUUGUAACCAUGAUCAAAGUUUGUGUUGGAAUAACAAUGGAAUAAAACCUAUUAAACUUCAAA
Molecule: long non-coding RNA, 3036 nt
Organism: Bubalus bubalis (water buffalo)
Lineage: Eukaryota; Metazoa; Chordata; Mammalia; Artiodactyla; Bovidae
Exons: 2
Source: RefSeq, a predicted model, not a curated record